This is a long non-coding RNA of Theobroma umbraticum, 437 nucleotides long. RefSeq lists it as uncharacterized. NCBI's taxonomy places the organism in Eukaryota, Viridiplantae, Streptophyta, Magnoliopsida, Malvales, Malvaceae. The record is from RefSeq and is a predicted model, not a curated record.
GUAUAAUUAACUGUUGUUAGACACAAUUUUAUAGCUGGUUGCAUUCCUUUUUCUACACACUAUAUAUAACACUAAAGAAUUCUACAAAUGUAGCGUGGAGCAUGUGGAAAACAUAGGAAGCCAAUACCACCGAACUGCGAGAUGCUGGAAAAAUAAGUUAUUGGACAAUAAGAGCAAAAUUGUUGCUUUUGGAUUCAAUGAGGAGUUCAUUCGAAUGUGGGAAUAUUAUCUUGAUUAUGUGGCAGCUGGUAUGAAUUCAAGGACACAUUUGAAUUAUCAGGUUGUUUUUUCGCGUCAUGAAUACCCUGCUGCACCCGGCAGUCCAUACAAAGGUUUUUCUUCAGCACUAGACUGAUUACUUCUCUGAAAGGGGACCAAACUUCUGCGUUGAAAGCAGGUCAAGCUGUAGCUACUUCUUUUCUCCUUUCUGUCUUUAA